AUAGACUUAGUCCUAACCUUACAGUUAAUUCUUGCCAAACAUAUACAUGCAAGUAUCCGCGCUCCAGUGUAAAUGCCCCCACCUCCUGCUUGUCCCAAAGCAGGAAAGAGGAGCAGGCAUCAGGCACACCAGACGUAGCCCAAGACGCCUUGCUCAGCCACACCCCCACGGGUAUUCAGCAGUAAUUAACAUUAAGCAAUAAGUGUAAACUUGACUUAGUUAUGGCAACCCACAGGGUUGGUAAAUCUUGUGCCAGCCACCGCGGUCAUACAAGAAACCCAAAUUAACUGUCCUCGGCGUAAAGAGUGGUAGUCUACUAUCAUUCAACUAAGAUCAAAAUACAACUAAGCUGUCAUAAGCCCACGAUGUACCUAAGACCAACAUCAAAACGAUCCUAGCAACAAUGACAUAUUAAACACCACGAAAGCCAAGACACAAACUGGGAUUAGAUACCCCACUAUGCUUGGCCCUAAAUCCAGAUAUUUUCCCCACCAAAGUAUCCGCCUGAGAACUACGAGCACAAACGCUUAAAACUCUAAGGACUUGGCGGUGCUCCAAAUCCACCUAGAGGAGCCUGUUCUAUAAUCGAUAACCCACGAUACACCCAACCCCCUCUUGCCCAAAGCAGCCUACAUACCGCCGUCCCCAGCUCACCUCACCUGAUAGCCCUAAUAGUGAGCAUAACACCCCCCCCCCGCUAGCAAGACAGGUCAAGGUAUAGCCUAUGAGGGGGAAGAAAUGGGCUACAUUUUCUAAAAUAGAAAACUCAACGAAAAGGGGCCUGAAACACCCCCUGGAAGGAGGAUUUAGCAGUAAAGGGGAAGGUAAGAAUACCCCCUUAAACUUGGCCCUGGAGCACGUACAUACCGCCCGUCACCCUCUUCACAGCCCAACUACAUCAGUAAUUAACACACACACCGGGCUAAAGAUGAGGUAAGUCGUAACAAGGUAAGUGUACCGGAAGGUGCACUUAGCAC
Molecule: non-coding RNA, 977 nt
Filed under: Porzana carolina (sora)
Lineage: Eukaryota; Metazoa; Chordata; Aves; Gruiformes; Rallidae
Description: 12S ribosomal RNA
Rfam family: Bacterial small subunit ribosomal RNA
Source: RNAcentral